RNAcentral lists this transfer RNA (77 nucleotides) under Deltaproteobacteria bacterium. RNAcentral describes it as "tRNA-Pro". It matches the Rfam family "tRNA". From Rfam's summary of the family: Transfer RNA (tRNA) molecules are approximately 80 nucleotides in length. Their secondary structure includes four short double-helical elements and three loops (D, anti-codon, and T loops). Further hydrogen bonds mediate the characteristic L-shaped molecular structure. tRNAs have two regions of fundamental functional importance: the anti-codon, which is responsible for specific mRNA codon recognition, and the 3' end, to which the tRNAs corresponding amino acid is attached (by aminoacyl-tRNA synthetases). tRNAs cope with the degeneracy of the genetic code in two manners: having more than one tRNA (with a specific anti-codon) for a particular amino acid; and 'wobble' base-pairing, i.e. permitting non-standard base-pairing at the 3rd anti-codon position. Lineage: Bacteria; Pseudomonadati; Myxococcota; Myxococcia. RNAcentral also lists the same sequence under 3 other names. The record is from RNAcentral.
CGGGGCGUGGCGCAGUCUGGAAGCGCACCUGAAUGGGGUUCAGGGGGUCGGAGGUUCAAAUCCUCUCGCCCCGACCA